GGAAUGAUGGUGACUUAAACCCUCACCAGAGUACCAAUUGGAGGGCAAGUCUGGUGCCAGCAGCCGCGGUAAUUCCAGCUCCAAUAGCGUAUAUUAAACUUGUUGCAGUUAAAAAGCUCGUAGUUGAAUUUCAGCCUGUUGCACUAGCUCGAGUAGCGCGUUGCGAUCGGCUUAUUUUAUUACUUUGAGAAAAUUAGAGUGUUUCAAGCAGGCUUUUGUCUUGAAUACUUGAGCAUGGAAUAAUAGAGUAGGACCUUGGUUCUAUUUUGUUGGUUUUGUACCUUGGUAAUGGUUAAUAGGAACGGUUGGGGGCAUCCGUAUUUAACUGUCAGAGGUGAAAUUCUUAGAUUUGUUAAAGACGAACUACUGCGAAAGCAUUUGCCAAGGACGUUUCCAUUAAUCAAGAACGAAAGUUAGGGGAUCGAAGACGAUCAGAUACCGUCGUAGUCCUAACCAUAAACUAUGCCGACUAGGGAUUGGAGGUCGUCAUUUUUCCGACUCCUUCAGCACCUUGAGAGAAAUCAAAG
RNAcentral lists this ribosomal RNA (527 nucleotides) under Babesia sp. Its description in RNAcentral is "SSU rRNA". It matches the Rfam family "Eukaryotic small subunit ribosomal RNA", at positions 511 to 1103 of the family's 1831-position model. The record is from RNAcentral. Lineage: Eukaryota; Apicomplexa; Aconoidasida; Piroplasmida; Babesiidae.